Molecule: ribosomal RNA, 253 nt
Filed under: uncultured bacterium
Lineage: Bacteria
Description: partial 16S ribosomal RNA
Rfam family: Bacterial small subunit ribosomal RNA
Source: RNAcentral
UACGAAGGGAGCUAGCGUUGUUCGGAAUCACUGGGCGUAAAGCGCACGUAGGCGGAUGUGUCAGUCAGGGGUGAAAUCCACUGGCUUAACUGGUGGCUUGCUUUCGAUACGGGCAGACUGGAGGUAUGCAGGGGAGAACGGAAUUCCUGGUGUAGCGGUGAAAUGCGCAGAUAUCAGGAAGAACACCCGUGGCGAAGGCGGUUCUCUGGAACGCAACUGACGCUGAGACGCGAAAGCGUGGGGAGCAAACAGG